This is a long non-coding RNA of Mesocricetus auratus (golden hamster), 574 nucleotides long. RefSeq lists it as uncharacterized. The transcript has 2 exons. The record is from RefSeq and is a predicted model, not a curated record. Lineage: Eukaryota; Metazoa; Chordata; Mammalia; Rodentia; Cricetidae.
GAUGGCACUAGAAGAAACCAUCCUGAGCGAGGUAACGAAGUCACAAAAAGAGAAACAUGGCUCUGAAGGAGAGUUUGAGUAUGUCAACAUUUUCCUAUGAAGACAGCACAUACUUCCGCAAAGAGCAUCUCAUGGUUCCUGUAGAAACUAGAAAUGGAAGCCAUAUGACUUCAAAUGAUAUGAAUCUACAUCACAGCAUCAUUAAACUCUCAGCAUGGCACCUGCUCAAACUAGAUGUAAAGUCUACACUGUAAGGCUAUUAUGUCAUCCUAAUUUCAAGUGAGAAUCAGCAAUUCCUAAGACUUUACAACAAGGACUAUAAAGCCAGACAGUAUGAACUCAAAGGUCUCUUCUGUACCUUAAGAAUUGUAACACUCCGGGAAAUUGUCUGUCCUCUUUGUACCCCUUUUAUUUUAAAAAGAGACACAGGAUUAAUAAUGUUGUUAUGUGUAUAAUGUUUAAUGCAUCUUUAUUUAGUUUACUAUUAAAACUAAGGAACACAUAGCAUUAGAAUAUACAUCUCACCAUGUGAUAUCAGGAUAAUGACCAGUUUAAUAGACUAAUUUAUCCAGUG